Molecule: ribosomal RNA, 333 nt
Filed under: uncultured microorganism
Description: bacterial SSU rRNA
Rfam family: Bacterial small subunit ribosomal RNA
Source: RNAcentral
GAGUUUGAUCGUGGCUCAGGAUGAACGCUGGCGGCGUGCUUAACACAUGCAAGUCGAACGAAGCGCCUUAUUUGAUUUUCUUCGGAACUGAAGAUUUGGUGGCUGAGUGGCGGACGGGUGAGUAACGCGUGGGUAACCUGCCCUGUACAGGGGGAGUAACAAUCAGAAAUAGACUGCUAAUAACCGCAUAAGACCACAGCACCGCAUGGUGCAGGGGUAAAAACGUACCGUGGUACAGGAUGGACCGCGUCUGAUUAGCUGGUUGGUGAGGUAACGGCUCACCAAGGCGACGACCAGUAGCCGGCUUGAGAGAGUGAACGGCCACAUUGGGAC